Molecule: long non-coding RNA, 4914 nt
Filed under: Sus scrofa (pig)
Lineage: Eukaryota; Metazoa; Chordata; Mammalia; Artiodactyla; Suidae
Description: lncRNA (ENSSSCG00000061961.1)
Source: RNAcentral
GGAGCCUGCUCUUAUUCUUCCUGACCACAUUAUUUGGUUUCCUCCUCUGGGUUUUCUUAAUACCUCUCUAUUGUGUCAGAUGUAUUGUAGCCUAAUUUACCUGUUCCUGUGUCCGUAUCUCUCUAUUCCUCUCUUUAUACCAGGUGGCUAGAAGUGAGCCUGCCAGUAGAGACGGGUUGCAUGGAUGAGUGUGUGGGUCAUUGGGGGGGUGACCAGAUGGAUGGAUGAAGGCUUUGCUUUGUGGUCCAAAAGGGAACCAGGCUGCUAUACUCAGUAGACCUUGCACAUUUGCACAAGAAAGGUUCAAGAAGUCCACAAGAUUAAACGGAAUCCCUGCUGGUUCAUGCCUUCCCCAGGCUCCUUUUCAGCCUUCAGUCCCCACUCCAUUCCUCUCUGGCUGUGCCGGUCCUGCUCCACUUUCCUGGAGGCUCCACCUGGCCCCAGAAUGCAAUGAGACACAUCCCAUUUUCUAUCAGGGCACAGUACCGACGCCCUGGGCCCCCGUGAUCACUGACCUCUGAAGCAAGACUGGACAAAGGAGGCGGGGGAGAAGGAGGCUGCUGACACUGGCUCCCACUCCUCCACGCCAUCCUGUCCCAGCAGAAGUGCUUUAACCAGAUGAUAAACUGGCCAUGUAGGACGAGCAUUCUUAAAGCCUCAGGAGCUUAAGAGUUCCAAAAGAGCCUAGUUCUUCCCAGACUCGGUGCAUUUGAAGCGAUAGACUCAAUGUAGUGGAAUCACCAAAAAUUUAUCUUGGCAAAGACUGAGAAGCCAGUUCUAAGGUUUGGGAUUGCAUCGAACAUGUGUUCAUUUAUUUGCUCACUUUCAGUAAAUACACAGUGGCCCCCACUAGGGCCUGAGAAUGCAGAUACUGGCUCCUUGAGUGAAGUGGACAGAGAGAUCUAGCAAUCAUGAUCAGAGUGAGAGAGUGAGGUUUACAUUCCUAGGAACUCAGUAAAUGGGUUGAAUAAAUUCAUACGUAGUAAACAAACCAAAUGAAAUGCCAAUAUCCUUCUACAGCAUCGCUGCUCUUUGGCAGAAUACGUUUACCAUUUUCUUUCACCCAACCAGUAAAAAUUCUUCCUCUGUAAGAGAUCCUGACCUCCUCACCCCAAGAAGUCUUGUAGGCUCCUUCCUCCUCCUUCCUCCUGUCCUGGUACAUUCGUCCCUUGGUUUGGUCAUAUUACUGUAUCGUAAGCGGCUGUUAACCGGUGUCUUUUGCCACUAGACUCUGCAUCUCUUGAAAACAGAAACGGUCUCAUUCAUCUGAGCAUUUCCAGCUUCUGACACAGGCCCUGCUAUAGAGCAGGCACUCAGAAAAUCUUGAAUUAUUGUUGGGGUUUUAGAACUUUGCGCUCCUAAAAUAUGAGGAAGGGAGGGAAGUGUGUGUUAUUAUUCCACCCAAUUGCCUAGUGGCAGAGCUACAACCGGAAUCCCAGUCCUGAAGCUGCAUCCAGAAGGCUGUGUUCCUCCUCUUGCUCUAAGCGUCAUCUCAUAGAACACAGCUCUUUUGUUCAGGAAAGCUUGCUCAUAGAUUUUCUGAGAUGGACAUACACACAUUCCAGAGCCUGCUUUUAGGUGGCCAGUGAGAGCUCAGUUGCUUUGCAUGAUACUUUUACUUUUUUCUCUCUCAGUGGCUAAGGAAGAUAGGAAGCAGGGGUCUCUGGAGCUCAAGGGAAAAUUGGAGAUGGUGCAGGGGAAGCUGUCUGCAAGGUACACUGACUCUGAACAAAAGUGAGCUAAACCUGGGCAUUCCCAUCAUGGCUCAGUGGGUUAUGAACCUGAUUUGUAUCCAUGAGGAUGCGAGUUCAAUCCCUGGACUCGCUCAGCGGGUUAAGGAUCUGGUGUUGCCAUGAGCUGUGAUAUAGGUUGCAGACAUGGCUUGGAUCUCAUGUUGUUGUGGCUGUGGUGUAGACUGGAAGCCAUAGCUCUGAUUCGACCCCUAGCCUGGGAACUUCCAUAUGCUGCAGGUGCAGCUCUAAAAAUUAAAAAAAAAAAAAAAAGAGAAGAAGAAGAAAGUGAGCCAAGCCUCUGCUCCCCAAAUAUACUAGAUGUAGGUACACACUGGAUACUCAAUGGCUAACAGGUGCCUACAGCCAUGUGUGGUUCAGGUGCAGUGCACACAGGGCGAUGUUGCAUUAAAUAUGGAUUUCAGGCUCAUCAUAAAAGAUCAGAAGUUGUGACAACCCAGGUCUGCUGCACUGAAACUGGACGGUUGCUACCAUCUUUUGUCCAGAUGGGACCUACACUCUCUUGUUUGCCACAGUCCCCACCACUCCCUAUUGUUCCUUAUGCUGCUCUGAUCCAUGUGACUCAUUUGCAUGGCAUUGCUUACCUGGCACCUGGAGGCCUUUAGGUUCACAACAACUGCACCAGAGACAAAUGAUGACCCUGGAAAGAGAAGGAGAGAAACUUUAGUUCCUGCUCUUCUAUGGGGAGAACCUAGCCAAGCGGCAAAUGUUGUCACAACCUAUGAGGUCAAAGAGGGGCAGACAGGUAUCCCUAUUCUAAGACUGAUGAAACUGAAGCUCGCAUAGGGUAACUUGCUUGAUCAUGGAAACAGAGCAAGUAAAAAGUAGAGCUAGGAUUCAACUCUGGACCCCUUGGAUUCCAAACUCUGUGCUCUAUCUGAACUAUUUCCCCAAGGGCUUGUUAAUUCCAUCCCUCCCCACACCUCCUCCCCAGCUCCUUUCAUCUGAACUUGAAUGCUGACCCAGAAGGUCUAACUCAUUUGCAUACUAAUUGAAUGUGGUCUGAGAGAAGGGUCCAUUGGUUCCCCUAUGCAACCUAACGUCACAUUUUAAAAAUCCUAGAUAAACCAAUGUGUCAUUUGCUGGUUCUUCUUGGUUAAGGGAAGGAGAAAAGGAAAUAAUUAAGUUACCUGCGUGUUUGGGCUUUGAUGUUCAGACUACUAAUUGUUCAAGGCAGGAAACUGAUCACGGAGGGGCAGGAGUGAUGCUUUGGUACAUCAAAACCCCCUGUUUAUUGCAGACAUGACAAGGGAAGUUAUAACUAAAGAGGAGGAUUUGUAUAAUUAAAUGUCAAAACAUAUUGUGAAAAAUGGUUUUUAACUCCUCAAAUCUCCCAGCAGGAUGAAAAAGAGAAACUCUCUAAUAAAGCUGGUUCCGCCUCACAGGAGGCCAGGAAGUCGUUGCUAACAGCAGAGAUCUGAGCAGAGGCAGCCUAACUCCUGGCAGCCUGUGCUUCUCCUGCCCAUCAGAGGAGAAUAGCUAAAGGCAACCAGGCCUGAGCACACAUCACACACUUAAAUUAACAACGUUUUCACUCAAUCUUUGCAGUUACCUUCUACUAUGUGAUUUACUCCCAUUUUACAGAUGAGGAAAACUGAGGCUCAGGGAGCUAUUAUAGCCAUUUCCAUCACCUUCCCUCAACUUUCUCCUUUUGUUGCUUUCUAUAGAAAUCCCGUAAGUCAUACAGGGGGCUUGAAGGAAAAUAUUGAAAGAGACAAACUGUGAACUGGGAAGACUUCCACUGGAAUCCCUUCUCUGAGGACUAGGUUUUACCCACUUUGAGGGAAUAGUAGUAGUAGAUCUAGAGCCUCUGAGAGUCACAGAUGCACAGACCCAGUGCUGGGCAUGGACCCCCACCACCACAUAUCAGCAACACACAUAAGGCGUAUAUGUACUAUGUCAAGGCUUCGUGCGCCAGCCCCUCAAACCCAUCCAUGACUCCUUAAGGAAGCCUUUGAUUUGGCUCUGCUUCCCUCUCCUUCCCACCUCCAAGUUUCCAAACCCCCUCCUCAACUGUGGAGGGGGUUGCUGAAAUCUCGGCUGCCUCUGUACACCAAUACCAAAUAGAAAUGCAGAGGCAGAGUUGGAGGGGAAAGUAGCUUUCAUUGCCAGGCAAAGGGGGGAACACAGCAGGCUCAUGCCUCAAGGACUGUGACUGCCCCUUGGAGGAGGUAGUGUGGAGUCUUAGAGUGUUUGAGGAGCAGGGCAUGAUCAGCUCCUGGAUAUUUUCCUGAUUGGUGGUGGGUGAGGUCAUAUGGAGUCAGCAUCAUCAACCUUCUGGUUCUACCCGGUCAGGGGUCUGUGUGCUUGUGGGCAGCACAGAGUGGACUUCUACCAUCUGGUGGGGGCUUCAGCACGUGCUAAAGAGCUCUAAGGAUGUGGCUCAGAAUAUUAUCCACAGUCCUUGAGGAAGAACUAACUAGAGGUCCUUGACUUUGUUGAAUGGCUAAACUAUUAUUAUUCUGUCUUGCUUGACUCUUUUCCUUUUUCUCUGUAUUUUUUCUCACUUCUCUGAUUAAAUUGAUUCUUUGACCAAAGUUUUUCUAUAGAUAAAAAGGCAGAUGGGGGACAUAAGUGGGGGGUCCACUCUGGGGGGACCUCAGGGUACUACUCAGGUACAAGGGUGGGGACUGAAUAGGUCCCCAUAUGGCUGCUGAUGGUUAUUUGGGGGACCUGCUGGGAUGCAACAGGAAGAUAAACAAAGCACUAAGGGCCUGCAUCAAGCCAACUGCUCAGGAGGGGGCUCCCAAGAGAGAUGUAACCCACCCUUAAAACCUACUCUUCCUUCCUCCCUCCAUCCUCUCCUCUGGGGAGGACCAAGGAAGGGCUGGAGACCAACAAGAGAAUCAAUCAUCCCCUCAGCCUUUAGAGCACAUACUGGAACUACGGCCCGGAAGGGGAAGCGAGGUACAGUUCCAGUAAACAAAGGAUCAGCUUAAGCCAUGAGUGCCUCUAGACUGGGGAGUGUCUCUUCCUCCUGCUAUGUCACCCAUGCCCAGCACAGAGGUGCCCAGGCCAAUGAGGAAGGGAACUUCUAGCGAGAUUGAAAAGUCUGAGGAUACAGACCAGAUUCAAAUAUCAGAGAAGAGGUGAAUAAGAUAUCCUUCAAUCAGAUGGUGAUUCCAAAAGUUGUUUAAAGUGCCAGCUUUGUCAAAAUUACCUG